This 581-nucleotide ribosomal RNA is filed under the name Vermamoeba vermiformis. Its description in RNAcentral is "SSU rRNA". It matches the Rfam family "Eukaryotic small subunit ribosomal RNA", at positions 602 to 1184 of the family's 1831-position model. The record is from RNAcentral. Lineage: Eukaryota; Tubulinea; Echinamoebida; Vermamoebidae.
UAUUAAAGUUGUUGCAGUUAAAAAGCUCGUAGUUGGAUUUCGGAAGGUCUUUAGUGGUCCGCCCCUUCGGGGAGCGGGUCACUGGCCUCCUAUGUUCCUAACGGUCCUCAUCCGCGAGGGUGGGGAAUCAACCGCUAGGAUCGUUUACUUUGAGGAAAUUAGAGUGUUCAAAGCAGGCGUAACUCGCCUCCGAAUACGUUAGCAUGGGAUAAUGGAAUACGACUUCGGUCUUGUUUCGUUGGUUUCGCUUGGCUGAAGUAAUGAUUGAUAGGGACAGUUGGGGGCAUUAGUAUUUAGUUGUCAGAGGUGAAAUUCUAGGAUUUACUAAAGACUGACCAAUGCGAAAGCAUUUGCCAAGGAUGUUUUCAUUAAUCAAGAACGAAAGUAGGGGGAUCGAAGACGAUCAGAUACCGUCGUAGUCUCUACCGUAAACUAUGCCGACCAGGGAUCCGGAGAGUUUGCAUGGAUGACUCCCCGGGCACCUUGUGAGAAAUCAUAAGUGUUUGGGUUUUGGGGGGAGUAUGGUCGCAAGGCUGAAACUUAAAGGAAUUGACGGAAGGGCACCACCAGGAGUGGAACCU